GUUCUCAGCUGGAUACAGUGGUUCAGUUGCAUCAGGGGAGAAGCAACCAUUUUAUUUAUAGCGGGGUGGAGAUGGGGUAGGAUCUAAGAUUUAUCAGGUGAGGGUUCAAUGAUGGCUUUACUUGCGCUAAUUGGUAGAUCUGACUUAACUAAGAAAUAAGGUCAAUAUCUGUCAAGUGAGGACUCAGAACUUAGAGAUCAAGUCUGUUGCGAUUUAUUUGAGAAGCAUUGGAUAAAAGUUAUCUACCUAUUGGUUGACAUAUUCAUCAAGAUCUG
This 275-nucleotide long non-coding RNA is filed under the name Elaeis guineensis (African oil palm). RNAcentral describes it as "long non-coding RNA (EGUI_LNC027227)". The record is from RNAcentral. Lineage: Eukaryota; Viridiplantae; Streptophyta; Magnoliopsida; Arecales; Arecaceae.